UGUGGCUCAGUGGUAGAGUGUUUGCCUUGCAUGCAUAAAGGCCUGGGUUUGAUCCCUAGCA
Molecule: transfer RNA, 61 nt
Filed under: Ictidomys tridecemlineatus (thirteen-lined ground squirrel)
Lineage: Eukaryota; Metazoa; Chordata; Mammalia; Rodentia; Sciuridae
Description: Spermophilus tridecemlineatus (thirteen-lined ground squirrel) tRNA
Rfam family: tRNA
About the family: Transfer RNA (tRNA) molecules are approximately 80 nucleotides in length. Their secondary structure includes four short double-helical elements and three loops (D, anti-codon, and T loops).
Source: Rfam by way of RNAcentral